Molecule: ribosomal RNA, 253 nt
Filed under: uncultured bacterium
Lineage: Bacteria
Description: partial 16S ribosomal RNA
Rfam family: Bacterial small subunit ribosomal RNA
Source: RNAcentral
UACAGAGGUCUCAAGCGUUGUUCGGAUUUAUUGGGCGUAAAGGGCUCGUAGGCGGUUUGUCGCGUCGGGAGUGAAAACGCACAGCUUAACUGUGUGCUUGCUUUCGAUACGGGCAGACUAGAGGCAUGCAGGGGAGAACGGAAUUCCUGGUGUAGCGGUGAAAUGCGCAGAUAUCAGGAGGAACACCGGUGGCGAAGGCGGUUCUCUGGGCAUGUCCUGACGCUGAGGAGCGAAAGUGUGGGGAGCGAACAGG